This 77-nucleotide transfer RNA is filed under the name Sporomusaceae bacterium. Its description in RNAcentral is "tRNA-Arg". It matches the Rfam family "tRNA". From Rfam's summary of the family: Transfer RNA (tRNA) molecules are approximately 80 nucleotides in length. Lineage: Bacteria; Bacillati; Bacillota; Negativicutes; Selenomonadales; Sporomusaceae. The record is from RNAcentral.
GUGCUUGUAGCUCAGUUGGAUAGAGCAACGGCCUUCUAAGCCGUGGGUCGCAGGUUCGAAUCCUGCCAGGCACACCA